UUGAACGCUGGCGGCAGGCCUAACACAUGCAAGUCGAACGGUAACAGGAAGCAGCUUGCUGCUUCGCUGACGAGUGGCGGACGGGUGAGUAAUGUCUGGGAAACUGCCUGAUGGAGGGGGAUAACUACUGGAAACGGUAGCUAAUACCGCAUAACGUCGCAAGACCAAAGAGGGGGACCUUAGGGCCUCUUGCCAUCGGAUGUGCCCAGAUGGGAUUAGCUAGUAGGUGGGGUAACGGCUCACCUAGGCGACGAUCCCUAGCUGGUCUGAGAGGAUGACCAGCCACACUGGAACUGAGACACGGUCCAGACUCCUACGGGAGGCAGCAGUGGGGAAUGUUGCACAAUGGGCGCAAGCCUGAUGCAGCCAUGCCGCGUGUAUGAAGAAGGCCUUCGGGUUGUAAAGUACUUUCAGCGGGGAGGAAGGGAGUAAAGUUAAUACCUUUGCUCAUUGACGUUACCCGCAGAAGAAGCACCGGCUAACUCCGUG
This 489-nucleotide ribosomal RNA is filed under the name uncultured bacterium. Its description in RNAcentral is "partial 16S ribosomal RNA". It matches the Rfam family "Bacterial small subunit ribosomal RNA", at positions 30 to 507 of the family's 1533-position model. The record is from RNAcentral.